CCUACGGGAGGCAGCAGUGGGGAAUCUUGGGCAAUGGGCGCAAGCCUGACCCAGCAAUACCGCGUGAGGGAUGAAGGCCUUCGGGUCGUAAACCUCUGUCAGUAGGAACGAUGGGUCUCCGGGCUAAUAUCCCGGAGACUUGACGGUACUUACAAAGGAAGCCCCGGCUAACUCCGUGCCAGCAGCCGCGGUAAU
This 195-nucleotide ribosomal RNA is filed under the name uncultured bacterium. RNAcentral describes it as "partial 16S rRNA". It matches the Rfam family "Bacterial small subunit ribosomal RNA", at positions 338 to 524 of the family's 1533-position model. The record is from RNAcentral.